GGAAGCGUGUGUGGGAUGGCACAACUAAGCAUUGAUCGUUACGUAGAUCAUCACUAUGUAGCAGAUCUGCUCAGUUUGUGUUAUCAUUAAUUAUCGAGCUUUCAGAUCAUCCGAUAAGCUUCUUGAUUUUCCAGACUCCCGAUUGCGCAUAUGCAACUUUGUUUUAAAAUCACAGAUUUGCAUGCCUGCACGGUUGAGUCAUUCCUCAAAGUACCGCGAUUUCCAAAUUUGGGGGGUAAUCGAUUUGGUCAGAGGUAAUUUGUCGCUUCCACAUGCAGGCACUGCUGAUGGCGGUACGCCAUCUUUUUUG
Molecule: small nuclear RNA, 310 nt
Filed under: Acromyrmex echinatior (Panamanian leafcutter ant)
Lineage: Eukaryota; Metazoa; Arthropoda; Insecta; Hymenoptera; Formicidae
Description: Arthropod 7SK RNA
Rfam family: Arthropod 7SK RNA
Source: Rfam by way of RNAcentral